AUGCCGGCAGAGUCGCCGGCUACGGAGUUCGUUACAAAGUCUGGAAAAUGGCCAACCGAGAUUUCAAAGUUGCCAUUCCCUAACCCAGCUCCAUACGCAGCUAAAUUGUGCGCAGCAACAUUACAUGAUCUUGGGCAAGUACCUAAUUUAACAACAUCAAGAGCUUUAUUUCCUGAAACAGAGAACCUAGCGCAGCUGAAUUGCAAUCUUGAGUUGAAACCACCUGCUUUAGUCGGUCUCCAAUAUGAUUUGACUGCAUCCCAUUCUUGCAGUAGCAUUUAUAGCGUGCAACAUGGCCAGGGCUUCAGCGUGUAG
RNAcentral lists this ribosomal RNA (315 nucleotides) under Triticum aestivum (bread wheat). Its description in RNAcentral is "partial small subunit ribosomal RNA". Lineage: Eukaryota; Viridiplantae; Streptophyta; Magnoliopsida; Poales; Poaceae. The record is from RNAcentral.